This is a non-coding RNA of Chlorocebus sabaeus (green monkey), 109 nucleotides long. NCBI's taxonomy places the organism in Eukaryota, Metazoa, Chordata, Mammalia, Primates, Cercopithecidae. The record is from Rfam.
GUCUACAGCCAUACCACCCUGAAUGCACCCAAAUUCAUCUGAUCUAGGAAGCUAAGCAGGGUCAGGCCGGGUUAGUACUUGGAUGGGAGACAACUAUAUUUUUUAUUUC